This 1405-nucleotide long non-coding RNA is filed under the name Callithrix jacchus (white-tufted-ear marmoset). RNAcentral's name for it is "lncRNA (ENSCJAG00000082232.1)". The record is from RNAcentral. Lineage: Eukaryota; Metazoa; Chordata; Mammalia; Primates; Cebidae.
GGAGGCACGAACUAAUUUCCAGGUUUCUUUCACAUAAACAUUGCAAUAAAAUAUUACCUUGAUGCCCACGAGUUAAUAUUCCCACCCCCACCACAGCACAAAGCAAGGACUUUUUCCUAAUGAUUGGGUGGGCAAGUGAGAGAAAAAGAGGCCUCGAAACAAACAUGGAGAUCUCGCGACUCCCGGAGCAAGCCACUCACCUUGUUAACACAUCAGGGUAUUGAGUGAAUUCAAAAACGCUUUCCAGCUCCUGUACCUGCAGCCCGCGUGAACCUUCUUGCGCUGGAUUGGUGGCUCCAAGUUCUCGGGCUGCGGAUCCUCCAUGCCGCCUGGGCCUGCUCCUCCCAGGGCCGCUGUGGCUCCACAGGCUCUUGGUUUCCACCGCCGCCCUCGUGAAUCAUGCCGCCAUCAUGGCUCACGCCGCCAUCAUGGCUCACACCGCUCUCGGGAUUCAAGUCGUCCUCGGGGUUCACGUCGUCCUCGGGUGUUCACGCCGCCCUCGGGGUUCAUAUUACCCAAGAGGCCUGGAGCUCCUUGGCCACCAUGGUCUUCCGCCCUUAGCUCAGGUGCGAUUCCUCCAGUGAUCUCAGUGAUUUAUCAGGAGAAAACGAGGAUGGCACAAUACUGUCCGAAUGUAAACAAGAAGCAGCUGCACGAGCAGCACCAACAAUGCCACGGUAGUGUGGCAGGCCUUGGCCCCAUGGACAAAGAGAAACUCGAUGGUGGCAGUGGCCACAAACUCAGAAAGCCUGAGGACAGUCAGCAGCUUCUCUGGCUCAUCACUUUCAUAUCGGUGCAACUACAGAGAGUAAGGCAUGGUCGUGCAAGUGGAUGGCCAAAUUCUGCCUUUAUUUUAAUAUUUGAUAAUUUGCUCGUAAUAUUUUCGAUUUUUCAGGAUAGUACAAAAAGUGUUAUUUUUCUGGAAUCCUGAGGAUUUUUUUGGGACCCUCACAUUUAGUAUGGCGGAAAAUCAUUCCUAAAGAAAGCCUCGAUCUGGAUAUUACAAAAUAGUGUACUUGGGGAGAGGUGUUGGGGGAAAAGUAUUUAAAAGCAAGCUUGAAAUCAACAUCAUGUAUGUUUCAUCCACAACUCUAAAUACUGAACAUCUGUGGUUUUCCCCUCAGAAAGGAACUUGUAAGAUGACUGAGCAUGACUGGAACCAGUGUGCAGGUCACUAUUUGGCAGGGCAGCCAUUCUAAAAUCUGCUUCAAGACUUAGAUACCUUUGCCCUAAAUAUUCUGAAGUUGGUGUGUUUUUGUUGCCUUUUCCAGGUUUGGGAAAUAAGUUCAAACUUUGAGUUUUUUGUGAAUAGAAAAUGGGAUAAGAAAACCCCGGCUUGUGGAAAUUUCCAUUAUUAGAGCAUACAUGAUUUCAAAAAAGACCAAAGAAAAUAGAACUGAACUAC